This is a long non-coding RNA of Cotesia glomerata, 551 nucleotides long. RefSeq lists it as uncharacterized. The record is from RefSeq and is a predicted model, not a curated record. NCBI's taxonomy places the organism in Eukaryota, Metazoa, Arthropoda, Insecta, Hymenoptera, Braconidae. The transcript is spliced from 2 exons.
GUAGCACAGCUUUGGCGUUACAUCACUUGAACACCGGACACAGAUUCAAGUUUGAGGAUGUCUCUAUGUUGGAUCAAGAAAGUCAUUGGAAGAAGAGGAACAUCGGGGAAAUGUGCUUUAUUAAGAUGAAUAAUACAAUUAAUAAGAGGACGGAUACUCAAAAUUUAAGUUCUGUAUAUAAUGUAAUUUUAAAUUGUGACAGGGCCCAUAGUUUUGAUGGUACGGGUAUGUAGAUGACUGUUUUUUUUUGUGAGAACAUACAGUACAUUAUUAUCAGCUGUUAUUACCUGAGAGAAGAACUUGUAGUAUUGACAGAGUUUUAGUUAAUUAAUAUUUGUUAUUUAUUAGUUAAUGUUUAUCAAUUGAAACACGAAUAAAUGAAUUUGGAAUAUGAUGUGAAUAAGUUCAGGUUGUUAGCCUGCCUCGAUUCAUUUGACAUGUUUUUAACAAUUGAUGUUUGAUAAUUGAGCACCUGAAGAAGUCGGGAAACCGAUGAAACGUUGUGAAAAUUUAACAUAAACAUCGAAUAAAUAUUUCCAAUAAACUGUGAA